Cajanus cajan (pigeon pea) is the source of this 795-nucleotide non-coding RNA. The record is from RefSeq and is a predicted model, not a curated record. Lineage: Eukaryota; Viridiplantae; Streptophyta; Magnoliopsida; Fabales; Fabaceae.
AAAUAAAAUAAAAUAAAUUGUUGUUGAAUGGGCUUAAGCCCGCAUAUUUGGCCCAAAUUAGAAAGAAAAUGGGGUAAUCAGAGGGUCACUUAACCAUCUCAUUCAAACCCUAAAAUAGAAAAGAAUGAGGUUUGAGAGGAGUGGAGAGGCACUCUGCUAGGGUUUCACGUGCGGCCUCCCUCUACGAGCGUCGAUAGCGCGGCGGACUGCUACUAUAGCAUUGUCGCAGCUAAGGUGGACGGCCGGAUAUGCAGAGGGAAGGAGGAGAUAGCUAAAAAGGGAAACGAAGAAAGGUAGAGGGUGGUGGCCGCCACCAGAAAUCGUUUCUGACGGUGGUGUGCAUUUCGUCUCGGUCGGGCAUAGUAAAGGUCCACGGAAAAGGCUAAAGGCCGACGAUGCCUCCAUCGAAAAUCGCCUCCGACCGCGGCGCGUGGCGGUGCACGGCGACACUCGCGGUGGCUGGAAAUCGCCUACGGUAGCAGUGCAUAAUGGUGUUCACGGGAAGCACUGUUUUCCUGUUGGUCCAAGCUCAUGUUUUUGGAAGCAUAUAUGGCACAAGCAUGCUCUUGGGGACAUGUUGGUGGCUAGGGCAGAGGAGCUCAGCAAGCUUGUUAGAGAAGAAAUAACCGUACAGAAAAGUGUGGGAUGGUAGAGAUUUUAGGUGCAGAGGAAAAGAUUAUUUUGUUAUUUUCUUGUUUUUUUUUAUUUUCUUUUAUUAUUUUUUCUAUUUAUUAUUUAUGCUUAUUGUGUGUAUUUUUGAGUUUAAAUCUAGUUUGUAAAUGAUUUUUUCUUGAA